ACUGCCUCAGCUCAGCACAGCUUCCUCCUUCCUCAGGGUUUCUGACACUCUCAGGAUGUGGGUUUCCACACUGUGUAUCUCGCACAGUAAUACACGGCCGUGUCCUCAGCCUUUAGGCUGCUGAUCUGCAGGUACACUGUGCUGACAGAGGUGUCCAUGGAGAAGACAAACCGUUCUGUGAAGCCCUGGGCAUACGUUGGGUUCCCAGUGUAGGUGUUCAUCCAUCCCAUCCACUCAAGGCCCUGUCCAGGGGCCUGUCGCACCCAAUUCAUACCAUAGGUGGUGGAGCUGUAACCAGAAGCCUUGCAGGAGACCUUCACUGAGGCCCCAGGCUGCUUCACCUCAGGCCCAGACUGCACCAGCUGCACCUGGGAGUGGGCACCUGUGGAGAGGACACAGGAUUGCGUGAAGUCUCACUUGACUGGCCUGGUUUCUGCCUCCGCCCUGGGACCUGGGAGCCCCUUACAUGUUGCUGCUGCCACCAAGAAAAGGAUGCUCCAGAUUCUCCUCUUAUGAGAUCAUUCUGAACCAUGCCAACAACCUCCACCAUGCACACUUUCAACCUUUACCUUUUAAGGGAAUAAGGGCACAAAUUCAUCAUUGCUUUAAGGUGAGAAACCUUCUUGGACUUCCAUCAUAUUCAUUAGAAACUCUCAUGGAGAACCAUAAUGAAACAUUAUUUGUUUAUGAAUCAUACCUCGAAACUGAAACUGUUUCUCAUAAUGGCUAUACCCUUCUAUAAUUCCACAAUUAUAGAAAGCAGUAUAAAGGCUCCUAAAUUAAUUAAAACUAGAAAUAUAUGACCAGAAAUUCUGCUUCUAGAAAUAUACCCAAAGGAGUUAAAAUUACCACCUUGUAAAGAUAUCUGCAUCCUAUAUUUAUUGAAACACUAUUAAUAACAGCCAAGAUACGGAAACAAUCUGAGUGUCAGUAGACAGACAAAUGGAAAAAGGCAAUGCGAUAUGUAUACACAAUAGAAAACUAUUUAAUCUUAUAAAAGAAGAUGCUGCCAUUUGCCACAAGAUGG
RNAcentral lists this long non-coding RNA (1027 nucleotides) under Macaca mulatta (Rhesus monkey). RNAcentral describes it as "lncRNA (ENSMMUG00000061082.1)". The record is from RNAcentral. Lineage: Eukaryota; Metazoa; Chordata; Mammalia; Primates; Cercopithecidae.